AGCACUUUCAGUGGGGAGGAAGUAAUUGUCGUGAAUAUCGAUGAUUGUUGACGUUACCCAAAGAAGAAAGCACCGGCUAACUCUGUGC
This 88-nucleotide ribosomal RNA is filed under the name uncultured bacterium. Its description in RNAcentral is "partial 16S ribosomal RNA". The record is from RNAcentral.